RNAcentral lists this transfer RNA (62 nucleotides) under Heterocephalus glaber (naked mole-rat). It matches the Rfam family "tRNA", at positions 1 to 62 of the family's 71-position model. Rfam says of the family: Transfer RNA (tRNA) molecules are approximately 80 nucleotides in length. Their secondary structure includes four short double-helical elements and three loops (D, anti-codon, and T loops). The record is from Rfam by way of RNAcentral. Lineage: Eukaryota; Metazoa; Chordata; Mammalia; Rodentia; Bathyergidae.
GGGGAUGUAGCUCAGUGGUAGAGCACUUGCUUAGUAUGCAUGAGGCCCUGGAUUUGACCCCA